GACGAACGCUGGCGGCGUGCUUAACACAUGCAAGUCGAGCGGUAAGGCCCUUUCGGGGGUACACGAGCGGCGAACGGGUGAGUAACACGUGGGUGACCUGCCCUCAGCUCUGGGAUAAGCCUGGGAAACCGGGUCUAAUACCGGAUAUGACUCCAUGACGCAUGUUGUGGGGUGGAAAGCCUUGUGCGGCUGAGGAUGGGCCCGCGGCCUAUCAGCUUGUUGGUGGGGUGAUGGCCUACCAAGGCGACGACGGGUAGCCGGCCUGAGAGGGCGACCGGCCACACUGGGACUGAGACACGGCCCAGACUCCUACGGGAGGCAGCAGUGGGGAAUUUUGGGCAAUGGGCGAAAGCCUGACCCAGCAACGCCGCGUGAAGGAUGAAAUCCCUCGGGAUGUAAACUUCGCAAGAACAGGAAGAAUAAGUAGGGGACAAUACCCCCUAUGAUGACGGUACUGUUUGUAAGCUCCGGCUAACUCCGUGCCAGCAGCCGCAGUAAU
This 499-nucleotide ribosomal RNA is filed under the name uncultured bacterium. RNAcentral's name for it is "bacterial SSU rRNA". It matches the Rfam family "Bacterial small subunit ribosomal RNA", at positions 28 to 524 of the family's 1533-position model. The record is from RNAcentral.